ACUCUGUUGGUAUUUGGUUGAUUUAAUUUUAUUUCAUUUGCUUUGACUUAGAAUAAUGCAGCCCUUCCUCUGUCCAGGCAUGCAUUGGCUUCUUGGACCCAUUGCAUCUCCAGGACCCAAAAAGACAAAAAUGGGCAAAACUGUCAGUCUCCUGCUGGACAAGAGGCUGCAGUGACUCAAAGGGAAGAGGAUGCAAGUAUGAUUUGACCAGUCACGUCCUGAACCACGCGAAUCUUGAAGAACAGAUUGAAGUGGCAAUGCUGCGACAUCAGUUUUCUGAGGAAGGGGUACCUGCCACUUGAUGUCUAGAUGGAGAGCAGUAAAAACUGGCACCAAGCAAGAUGUUCCACUUUCACUGGAUGCCUGUCCUACACUGGCCUUCUUACACCUGAACAGUAGGCCAAACCUGAAAUAAAAACCUGUGCAGAACAGAAGGCUGCCCACGGAAGGUUUUCUAACAGAGUGAGAAUGCCGCAUCUCCUGGUCCCAUUUCUACCAGUGUAAUU
Molecule: long non-coding RNA, 506 nt
Organism: Gavialis gangeticus (Gharial)
Lineage: Eukaryota; Metazoa; Chordata; Crocodylia; Gavialidae
Exons: 4
Source: RefSeq, a predicted model, not a curated record